Molecule: ribosomal RNA, 254 nt
Filed under: uncultured bacterium
Lineage: Bacteria
Description: partial 16S ribosomal RNA
Rfam family: Bacterial small subunit ribosomal RNA
Source: RNAcentral
UACGUAGGGUGCGAGCGUUGUCCGGAAUUAUUGGGCGUAAAGAGCUCGUAGGCGGUCUGUCGCGUCGGUCGUGAAAACUUGGGGCUUAACCCUGAGCUUGCGGUCGAUACGGGCGUGACUAGAGUCCAGUAGGGGAGCGUGGAAUUCCUGGUGUAGCGGUGAAAUGCGCAGAUAUCAGGAGGAACACCAGCGGCGAAGGCGGCGCUCUGGGCUGGCACUGACGCUGAGGAGCGAAAGCCAGGGGAGCAAACGGG